GAGUUUGAUCUUGGCUCAGGAUGAACGCUGGCGAUGUGCCUAACACAUGCAAGUCGAGCGGCCCUUCGGGGCAGCGGCGAACGGGUGAGUAACGCGUCGGAACGUACCCCAGAGUGGAACAUAGCUCGUCGAAAGACGGGGUAAUUUUCCAUAAUCCCUUACGGGCAAAGCAGCAAUGCGCUUUGGGAGCGGCCGGCGUCCUAUCAGCUUGUUGGCGGGGUAAAAGCCCACCAAGGCAAUGACGGGUAGCUGGUCUGAGAGGAUGACCAGCCACAAUGGGACUGAGACACGGCCCAUACUCCUACGGGAGGCAGCAGUUGGGAAUUUUGCGCAAUGGACGAAAGUCUGACGCAGCGACAUCGCGUGGUGGAUGAAGGCCUCGGUGUAACACCUUUAUCGUUGAGAUAUGACUGUAACGAAGAAUAAGGAACCGG
RNAcentral lists this ribosomal RNA (434 nucleotides) under uncultured bacterium. RNAcentral describes it as "bacterial SSU rRNA". It matches the Rfam family "Bacterial small subunit ribosomal RNA", at positions 9 to 496 of the family's 1533-position model. The record is from RNAcentral.